GGGCUUGACAUCCCACGAACCUGCCCGAAAAGGGGGGGUGCCCGCAAGGGAGCGUGGAGGCAGGUGGUGCAUGGCUGUCGUCAGCUCGUGUCGUGAGAUGUUGGGUUAAGUCCCGCAACGAGCGCAACCCUCACCCCUAGUUGCCACCGGGUUAAGCCGAGCACUCAAGGGGAACUGCCAGCGUCAAGCUGGAGGAAGGCGGGGAUGACGUCAAGUCAUCAUGCCCCUUACGCCCUGGGCUACACACGUGCUACAAUGGCCAGUACAAAGGGACGCGAGACUGCGAAGUGGAGCUAAUCCCAAAAAGCUGGUCUAAGUUCAGAUUGCAGUCUGCAACUCGACUGCAUGAAGGAGGAAUCGCUAGUAAUCGCGCAUCAGCCCGGCGCGGUGAAUACGUUCCCGGGCCUUGUACACACCGCCCGUCACACCACGAAAGCUGUCUGUACUCGAAGUCGCUGAG
RNAcentral lists this ribosomal RNA (460 nucleotides) under uncultured Methylomirabilota bacterium. Its description in RNAcentral is "bacterial SSU rRNA". It matches the Rfam family "Bacterial small subunit ribosomal RNA", at positions 977 to 1434 of the family's 1533-position model. The record is from RNAcentral. Lineage: Bacteria; Methylomirabilota (SeqCode).